This 478-nucleotide ribosomal RNA is filed under the name uncultured bacterium. RNAcentral's name for it is "bacterial SSU rRNA". It matches the Rfam family "Bacterial small subunit ribosomal RNA", at positions 28 to 519 of the family's 1533-position model. The record is from RNAcentral.
GAUGAACGCUGGCGGUACGUCUGACACAUGCAAGUCGAACGGUAAGCCACCUUCGGGUGGCCUAGAGUGGCGAACGGCUGAGUAACACGUAGGAACCUACCCCUCAGUUCGGGAUAACGGGACGAAAGCCCCGCUAAUACCGGAUAAUAUCGAAAGAUUGAAAGGUUUAUCUGCUGAGGGAGGGCCUGCGGGCUAUUAGCUUGAUGGUGGGGUAACGCUCACCAUGGCGAUGAUGGCAGCUGGUCUGAGAGGAUGACCAGCCAGACUGGGACUGAGACACGGUCCAGACUCCUACGGGAGGCAGCAGUGGGGAAUUUUGCACAAUGGGCGAAAGCCUGAUGCAGCAACGCCGCGUGUGUGAUGAAGGUCUUCGGAUUGUAAAGCACUUUCGACCGGGACGAAACCCCGUUGGCUAAUAUCCAGCGGUUUGACGGUACCGGGAGAAGAAGCACCGGCUAACUCUGUGCCAGCAGCCGCU